Triplophysa rosa is the source of this 358-nucleotide long non-coding RNA. RefSeq lists it as uncharacterized. The transcript is spliced from 3 exons. The record is from RefSeq and is a predicted model, not a curated record. Lineage: Eukaryota; Metazoa; Chordata; Actinopteri; Cypriniformes; Nemacheilidae.
GUGAAACUCCAUAAUCUUGUGUUCUUGUGAAUCCCAUUCACAUAUGCAGGUUGAUCACUUGAUCGUGUCAAGAGAUGGCAGAACCAUAAAGAGCUGUAGCACAACACCUACCGAGAAGCAGGUCUCAUGAGCAACUGCAGUACCUUCAGGCUGAGGUCAGAAGGCAUGUGGAAACAUCGUUCUGACCGUGAACCAAAGGAACCUGGUCUAAGAUGAAUCACAUAACAAACUUUGAUUUAAAGUAAAAACAUGUGGAAAUCAAGAAUCUACAAAAUUGUGUACAAUAUUGUGUGAGAAAAUAUAGUAGUCAUCGCUUGAAACAACAAUCAAAUCAAUAGGUUUUGAUAGUUUUAGGUAA